ACAGACGCUGAUCUAUUUUAGUGGAAAAUCUUUCUGUUUUCGACGAGGUGUCAGGAUGGCCGAGUGGUCUAAGGCGCCAGACUCAAGCGAAGCUUCCCCACCUUGGGGAUUCUGGUCUCCGUAUGGAGGCGUGGGUUCGAAUCCCACUUCUGACACAUUCCUUUUCUUUCCCAUCCUCUAAUUUCUAUAACAAAAUAUAUUGAGAAGAGCAAUAUGCGUAUGUAAUUUACCAACACAGUGUUAAAAACGGACUUUAAAAAAUUUCUCACAAGGACUGCUAACGAAAAAUAGUAAAAGCUGAAACAUCGCGAUAUUUUUGGAAGUCACGAGAUUUGGGGCGAAGGAUUAAAUACCGACGGGAGAGUACAAGAUGUUGGUUUUUCCGAGACAGCACGAGGAAAUGUUAAAAUAGCGAGAUUUGGGACUCAGAUAAUUCCCUUCCCCUUGGUUUUGGAGAAGAAAGUGGGCGUGGUCCGGUGCCCCGCCUGUUUCUCUUGGCUGCUCUUCCGCUUCUUCCCAGACAGAGAGGCCCGGCCGUGAAUACUUCCUGCAGCACUCCCUGCCAAGCCCACUCACCUGUGGCUCACGUUAGUGCUCGUGUGUGUGCUCAGUGGUUCAGUCCUGUCCAGCUCUUUGGGACCCCAUGGACUGCAGCCCUCCAGGCUCCUUGUAUCCAUAGUGUUUUCCAGGCAAGAAUACUGGAGCGGGUUGUUAUUCUAGGGGAUCUUCCCCACCCAGGGGUGGAAUCCGCGUCACUAGAGUUUCCUACAGUGGCAAGAGGAUUCUUUACCACUGCACACUGCUGUCUGCAAAGAUAUUUUAUAUAGAUGUUUAAUAUAGAUCGAUUGGAUUUUUAUUGAUUUUAAUAUAGAUCUAUGGAUAUUAUUUAUAAGAAAUUAACGAUAUAUAGAUUUAUGGAUUUUAUGGAUCUAUAAAUAUAUAUAAAUUUAUGGGUUUUAAUAUAGAUCUAUUUAUUUUAUAUUGAACAUGGUCUCUCCGUGUUCAAAAGUCAUGAAUUAGUUCUCAAACAUUUCCUUUGUAAAUUAGGCACAAUCACACCUUCGCCGGCAUCUAAUAAUUAUUGUUUUGUUUCCUAGUCAAAACUGAGUGCCGUUUUAACUCCUGAAUAAAAUAUGAAAGUUACACCUUUCUUCUCCUCCAAAUCUAACCACCAACAAUAUUUUAUUAUAUUUUGUACACUCCUAUUUUCUCUGAAUUCAUGUAUAUAUAAUAUAUAAAUAUUUUGUUUUAACAGAAAUGAAGUCAUAGGAAGUAUACCAUUCUCUGACUUUUUUUUUAAACCUAAUGUAUCUUGGGCUCCUUCCGUGUAAACACAAUCUUUUUCCUUAGAAUGAAAUGUUGCAAAUAAGUACACAGGAUAGAUAUAGCCUAUUUCAUUUAUCCACUUUUUUUCCCCCUAGACAUUUAGGGUAUUUUUAAUCACCAUUCUUCCAUCAAGUAUAUCAUGAGUGCUUUUUAUGUACCAAGGAAUGCAGUUCUGGAGCCAUGGCAGUAAAAGUAUAAAAAUAAAAUGGAAUAGGAUAGAAUUAAAAUUAAAAUUUAAUUUUUUUACACUAGUAAAAUAAACUUAUACCUUAUGUUGCUUAUAUUCCAGUCAAAUGACUGAUUCUGCUCAGGAACACCAUAUUCCAGGAUUUCCUUAUCUCUCAGGAGAAGACUAUACAUAUCCCAGAUCCCAAGACUAAUGACAGCUAUUGAAGAUUCUUAUAUGCAUGAUAUCUCCAUUUCAUGGAACAUGAGGUGAGAAGCAAACUGUAUUUCACCACUUAAAAUAUCAUGCCCUUCUUCAGUAUGAUAAAGAACAUUUAUAGAAAAAACUACAGCUAACAUCAUUCUCAAGCAAUUAGACAAGAAAAAUAAUCAAAGUCAUUCAAAUGGAAAGUAUAGAAGUAAUACUGUCUCUGUUUACAGAUGGCAAUAUCAUGACAUGAUCACAAGAAAACUACAACUGAUAGAUGAAUUCAGCAAAGUUGCAGAGUAUAAGAUCAACAUACAAAAUCAGUUGUGUUUCUAUAUCAGCAAUGAACAAACUGAAAAGAAAAUUAUGAAAGCAACUUCAAUUAUAAUAGCACAUAAGGAAUAAAAUACCCACGAAUGGAUUUAACCAAUGAAAUGAGAGACUUGUACACUGAAAUCUACAAAACAUUGCUGACAGAAAUUAAAGAAGACUCAAAUAAGUGGAAAGAGAUUCCAAGUUCCUAAAUAGGAAGACUUAAUACUGUUAAGAUGUUAAUACUAUCCAAAGUGAUCUACAGAUUCAAUUUCAUUUCUAUCAAAAUUCCAACAACUUUUUUUACAGAAAAGAAAAAGCCAUUCUUAAAAUUCAUACCAAAUUGCAAUAUGAACAUACAAAAAUCUUGAAAAAGAAGAACAAAGGCGGAGAACUCAGACUUCCUCAAUUCAAAACUUAGUAUAAAGCUAUAGUAACCAACAUGAUAUGGUAAUGGCAUAAAGACGGACAUAUAAUGCAAUUGAGAAUCCAGAAAUCAUCCCAUACAUUUAUAGCCAACUGGUUUUUUUAAUGAAUAUUUAUUUAUUUAUUGUAAAAAAAGAGUCUUAACCAUUAUAAAUGUACUGUUUGGUAGUUUUAGGGAUAUUCAUAUUGCUGUGGAACAGAUCUCUAGAACCCUUAUCUUGCAAAAUUGAAAUUCUGUACCCAUUAAACAACUGUCGUUUUUACCUCCCUCCCCUAAAAUGGUAAUCACCAUUCUACUUGUUUCUAUGAAUUUGAUUAUUUCAUAUACUCUAUGAUGGAAUAGAAUUUAAGUUUUUAAGGCUGCACAAGAAAAUUUGAACAUAACAUAGUCCCUGUCUGACAGGGCCCUCUUUAAUGUACAAUGUGCACCUGUACAAAGAUAGGAAUGUCUGCUUGACCAUGCCAGUGGUGUAAAUAUUAUCCUUCCUUAAAGGAUAAUAUUGUUUUCCUAAUUCUGACUCCUUGGAAAAGACUCUGAUGCUGGGAGGGAUUGGCGGCAGGAGGAGAAGGAGACGACAGAGGAUGGGAUGGCUGGAUGGCAUCACUGACUCAAUGGACGUGAGUCUGAGUGAACUCCGGGAGUUGGUGAUGGACAGGGAGGCCUGGCGUGCUGCGAUUCAUGGGGUCGCAAAGAGUCGGACACGACUGAGCGACUGAACAGAACUGAACUGAACUGAAUUCUGAGGGGUAAUGGUGACGUGCUGCUUCCUUUAAACACAUAUAUCUGGACUAUGUAUCUUUGGAGAAAUAAAGAGCCUCUUGAUGACAGUGAAA
Molecule: long non-coding RNA, 3271 nt
Organism: Bubalus bubalis (water buffalo)
Lineage: Eukaryota; Metazoa; Chordata; Mammalia; Artiodactyla; Bovidae
Exons: 2
Source: RefSeq, a predicted model, not a curated record